Styela clava is the source of this 379-nucleotide non-coding RNA. The record is from RefSeq and is a predicted model, not a curated record. NCBI's taxonomy places the organism in Eukaryota, Metazoa, Chordata, Ascidiacea, Stolidobranchia, Styelidae.
GGCCCUGAAGGUGCAAAAGGUGAUAUCUGAUCACCAGGACAAAAUGGCGCCACGGGACGUCAGGGAGCUACAGGAGAAAGUGGAACACCAUGUAAUUGCUCACGAUAUGAUGAGUUGGCACACAAAGUUCAAAUCCUCGAAAAAGUUUUAGCUCGAGAAUUGCAACUGCUAGCAGAUGGUUGGUAUCGUGUUCACAGUUACCCAUAUUGGUACAAAUUGGCCAAUGUAUCGUCGGACUAUCAAACAGCCAGAAAAAACUGCGAACUCAUGGGUGGCCGAUUAGCAGCAAAGGGUAUUCGCAACCCAACUAUUCGCAGCGAUCUUCUCGACAAGUUCAUCAGAAGAACAGGAACUUCAAUCUGGAUAGGACUUGACGACC